This 253-nucleotide ribosomal RNA is filed under the name uncultured bacterium. RNAcentral describes it as "partial 16S ribosomal RNA". It matches the Rfam family "Bacterial small subunit ribosomal RNA", at positions 524 to 776 of the family's 1533-position model. The record is from RNAcentral.
UACGUAGGGGGCGAGCGUUGUCCGGAUUCAUUGGGCGUAAAGCGCGCGUAGGCGGCUCGACAAGUCGGCCGUGAAAUCUCCAGGCUCAACUUGGAGGGGUCGGGCGAGACUGUCGGGCUCGAGGUGGGCAGAGGGCAGCGGAAUUCCGGGUGUAGUGGUGGAAUGCGUAGAGAUCCGGAGGAACACCAGUGGCGAAGGCGGCUGCCUGGGCCUGGCCUGACGCUGAGGCGCGAAAGCGUGGGGAGCGAUCCGG